This is a long non-coding RNA of Oncorhynchus tshawytscha (Chinook salmon), 556 nucleotides long. The record is from Ensembl. Lineage: Eukaryota; Metazoa; Chordata; Actinopteri; Salmoniformes; Salmonidae.
GAGGAACCACCCCUGCACUGCAGAGGAAGGGCCGUGACAAAGAGUACAACAACUUCAGGUGAGAUAUCUGCAUUAUUAUCAGGAUUAUAAGAAGAGUACAACAACUUCAGACUCUGUGGAACAAUGAUUCCAAGCACCUCCCUCCUUUUGAAGUUUCCAGUCUGUUAUUCAAACUCAAUCAGCAUGACAGAGUGAUCUCCAGCCUUGUCCUCCUCAACACUCACACCUGUGUUAACGAGAGAAUCACUGACAUGAUGUCAGCUGGUCCUUUUGUCGCAGGGCUGAAAUGCAAUGGAAAUGUUUUUUGGGGGAUUCAGUUAAUUUGCAUGGAAAAGAGGGACUAAUUAAUAAUAAUAAUAAUAAUAAUUGCGAUUAAUUUCAAUUCAUCUGAUCACUCUUCAUAACAUUCUGGAGUGUAUGCAAAUUGCCAUCAUACAAACUGAGGCAGCAGACUGUGUGAAAAUGUAUAUUUGUGUCAUUCUCAAAACUUUUGGCCACGGCUGUACAAUGUUAAAACAUUCCACAUUGUGACAUCAUUAAAAUACUCCUACUACAA